UACGUAGGGUGCGAGCGUUAUCCGGAAUUAUUGGGCGUAAAGAGCGCGCAGGUGGUUGAUUAAGUCUGAUGUGAAAGCCCACGGCUUAACCGUGGAGGGUCAUUGGAAACUGGUCGACUUGAGUGCAGAAGAGGGAAGUGGAAUUCCAUGUGUAGCGGUGAAAUGCGUAGAUAUCGGGAGGAACACCAGUGGCGAAGGCGGCUUCCUGGCACAAUACUGACGCUCAUGUGCGAAAGCUAGGGCAGCGAACGGGAUUAGA
RNAcentral lists this ribosomal RNA (259 nucleotides) under uncultured prokaryote. RNAcentral's name for it is "partial 16S ribosomal RNA". It matches the Rfam family "Bacterial small subunit ribosomal RNA", at positions 524 to 782 of the family's 1533-position model. The record is from RNAcentral.